RNAcentral lists this ribosomal RNA (425 nucleotides) under beta proteobacterium SCGC AAA487-I14. RNAcentral describes it as "bacterial SSU rRNA". It matches the Rfam family "Bacterial small subunit ribosomal RNA", at positions 355 to 772 of the family's 1533-position model. Lineage: Bacteria; Pseudomonadati; Pseudomonadota; Betaproteobacteria. The record is from RNAcentral.
UGGGGAAUUUUGGACAAUGGGCGAAAGCCUGAUCCAGCCAUUCCGCGUGCAGGAUGAAGGCCCUCGGGUUGUAAACUGCUUUUGUACAGAACGAAAAGGUUUCUAUUAAUACUAGGAGCUCAUGACGGUACUGUAAGAAUAAGCACCGGCUAACUACGUGCCAGCAGCCGCGGUAAUACGUAGGGUGCAAGCGUUAAUCGGAAUUACUGGGCGUAAAGCGUGCGCAGGCGGUUAUAUAAGUCAGAUGUGAAAUCCCCGGGCUCAACCUGGGAACUGCAUUUGAGACUGUAUAGCUAGAGUACGGUAGAGGGGGAUGGAAUUCCGCGUGUAGCAGUGAAAUGCGUAGAUAUGCGGAGGAACACCGAUGGCGAAGGCAAUCCCCUGGACCUGUACUGACGCUCAUGCACGAAAGCGUGGGGAGCAAA